AACGAACGCUGGCGGCAUGCCUAACACAUGCAAGUCGAACGAGACCUUCGGGUCUAGUGGCGCACGGGUGCGUAACGCGUGGGAAUCUGCCCUUGGGUUCGGAAUAACAGUUGGAAACGACUGCUAAUACCGGAUGAUGACGUAAGUCCAAAGAUUUAUCGCCCAGGGAUGAGCCCGCGUAGGAUUAGCUAGUUGGUGGGUAAAGGCCUACCAAGGCGACGAUCCUUAGCUGGUCUGAGAGGAUGAUCAGCCACACUGGGACUGAGACACGGCCCAGACUCCUACGGGAGGCAGCAGUGGGGAAUAUUGGACAAUGGGCGAAAGCCUGAUCCAGCAAUGCCGCGUGAGUGAUGAAGGCCUUAGGGUUGUAAAGCUCUUUUACCCGGGAUGAUAAUGACAGUACCGGGAGAAUAAGCCCCGGCUAACUCCGUG
This 432-nucleotide ribosomal RNA is filed under the name uncultured bacterium. RNAcentral's name for it is "partial 16S ribosomal RNA". It matches the Rfam family "Bacterial small subunit ribosomal RNA", at positions 29 to 507 of the family's 1533-position model. The record is from RNAcentral.